Vigna angularis (adzuki bean) is the source of this 107-nucleotide small nucleolar RNA. It matches the Rfam family "Plant small nucleolar RNA R71". From Rfam's summary of the family: R71 is a member of the C/D box family of snoRNAs containing the C (UGAUGA) and D (CUGA) box motifs. Multiple nearly identical copies of this snoRNA have been identified in Arabidopsis, and it is thought to function as a 2'-O-ribose methylation guide for 18S ribosomal RNA. Lineage: Eukaryota; Viridiplantae; Streptophyta; Magnoliopsida; Fabales; Fabaceae. The record is from Rfam.
AUCUGAUGGUGUGGGCAGCUGGCACAAAGCUUGUUAAACCUCUCCUAGUACUCGUACAAGAUCUCUUCAUUGAGCUGCGUAAUCCCAGAAAUAUCCUUUCUUAUGGU